GCACGAUCGCCGAAGUUAAGCAACGUCGAGCCAGAUCAGUACCCAGAUGGGUGACCGCUUGGGAAUGGCAGGUGCUGUAAG
Molecule: non-coding RNA, 81 nt
Organism: Acanthosepion pharaonis
Lineage: Eukaryota; Metazoa; Mollusca; Cephalopoda; Sepiida; Sepiidae
Source: the annotation of a GenBank genome assembly